This 492-nucleotide ribosomal RNA is filed under the name uncultured bacterium. Its description in RNAcentral is "partial 16S ribosomal RNA". It matches the Rfam family "Bacterial small subunit ribosomal RNA", at positions 29 to 507 of the family's 1533-position model. The record is from RNAcentral.
AUUGAACGCUGGCGGCAUGCUUUACACAUGCAAGUCGAACGGUAACAGGCCUUCGGGUGCUGACGAGUGGCGCACGGGUGAGUAAUGCAUCGGAACGUACCCAGAGGUGGGGGAUAACGCAGCGAAAGCUGUGCUAAUACCGCAUGUGAUCUGAGGAUGAAAGCGGGGGACCGAGCAGCAAUGUUUGGCCUCGCGCCUUUGGAGCGGCCGAUGUCGGAUUAGCUAGUUGGUGGGGUAAAGGCCUACCAAGGCGACGAUCCGUAGCUGGUCUGAGAGGACGACCAGCGACACUGGGACUGAGACACGGCCCAGACUCCUACGGGAGGCAGCAGUGGGGAAUGUUGGACAAUGGGCGCAAGCCUGAUCCAGCAAUGCCGCGUGCGGGAAGAAGGCCUUCGGGUUGUAAACCGCUUUUGGCAGGAACGAAACGGUGUCCGCUAAUACCGGGCGCUAAUGACGGUACCUGCAGAAUAAGCACCGGCUAACUACGUG